GCCCCUGUGGCGCAGUGGUCAGCGCGCUCCGAUGCUGGCGGAGAGGUCCUCGGUUCGACUCCGAGCAGAAGCA
This 73-nucleotide transfer RNA is filed under the name Clonostachys solani. It matches the Rfam family "tRNA". Rfam says of the family: Transfer RNA (tRNA) molecules are approximately 80 nucleotides in length. Lineage: Eukaryota; Fungi; Ascomycota; Sordariomycetes; Hypocreales; Bionectriaceae. The record is from RNAcentral.